This 266-nucleotide ribosomal RNA is filed under the name uncultured bacterium. Its description in RNAcentral is "partial 16S ribosomal RNA". It matches the Rfam family "Bacterial small subunit ribosomal RNA", at positions 524 to 789 of the family's 1533-position model. The record is from RNAcentral.
UACGUAGGGCGCGAGCGUUGUCCGGAUUUACUGGGCGUAAAGGGCUCGUAGGCGGUCCGUCGCGUCGGCUGUGAAAGACCGCAGCUCAACUGCGGAAACGCAGUCGAUACGGGCGGACUAGAGGACGGUAGAGGCAAGCGGAAUUCCUGGUGUAGCAGUGAAAUGCGCAGAUAUCAGGAGGAACACCGAUGGCGAAGGCAGCUUGCUGGGCCGUUCCUGACGCUGAGGAGCGAAAGCGUGGGGAGCGAACAGGAUUAGAUACCCGU